Caenorhabditis brenneri is the source of this 71-nucleotide non-coding RNA. NCBI's taxonomy places the organism in Eukaryota, Metazoa, Nematoda, Chromadorea, Rhabditida, Rhabditidae. The record is from Rfam.
ACAUCGGUGGGUGAGUGGUAGAAUGCUCGCCUGCCAGGCGUCCGGCCCGGGUUCGAUUCCCGGUCGGUGCA